Molecule: ribosomal RNA, 524 nt
Filed under: uncultured bacterium
Lineage: Bacteria
Description: bacterial SSU rRNA
Rfam family: Bacterial small subunit ribosomal RNA
Source: RNAcentral
GCGCAAUGGGCGAAAGCUUGACGCAGCAACGCCGCGUGGGGGAUGACGGCCUUCGGGUUGUAAACCUCUUUCGACAUCGACGAAGGAGCUUGCUCUGACGGUAGGUGUAGAAGAAGCACCGGCUAACUACGUGCCAGCAGCCGCGGUAAUACGUAGGGUGCGAGCGUUGUCCGGAUUUAUUGGGCGUAAAGAGCUCGUAGGCGGUUUGUCGCGUCGGCCGUGAAAACCUGCCGCUUAACGGUGGGCGUGCGGUCGAUACGGGCAGACUUGAGUUCGGUAGGGGAGACUGGAAUUCCUGGUGUAGCGGUGAAAUGCGCAGAUAUCAGGAGGAACACCGGUGGCGAAGGCGGGUCUCUGGGCCGAUACUGACGCUGAGGAGCGAAAGCGUGGGGAGCGAACAGGAUUAGAUACCCUGGUAGUCCACGCCGUAAACGUUGGGCGCUAGGUGUGGGGACUGUUUCCACGGUUUCCGUGCCGUAGCUAACGCAUUAAGCGCCCCGCCUGGGGAGUACGGCCGCAAGGCU